UCCGAAGGGUGCAAGCGUUAAUCGGAAUUACUGGGCGUAAAGCGUACGUAGGCGGCUUUCUAAGUCAGGGGUGAAAUCCUGGAGCUCAACUCCAGAACUGCCUUUGAUACUGGAGAGCUUGAGUCCGGGAGAGGUGAGUGGAACUCCGAGUGUAGAGGUGAAAUUCGUAGAUAUUCGGAAGAACACCAGUGGCGAAGGCGGCUCACUGGCCCGGUACUGACGCUGAUGUGCGAAGGCGUGGGGAGCAAACAGG
RNAcentral lists this ribosomal RNA (253 nucleotides) under uncultured bacterium. RNAcentral describes it as "partial 16S ribosomal RNA". It matches the Rfam family "Bacterial small subunit ribosomal RNA", at positions 524 to 776 of the family's 1533-position model. The record is from RNAcentral.